AAAAAAUUUAUGAAGCCAGGAACUUGUAAACUGAGAACUACCUGAAUUUGUAUGCUUGUUUGUUUGUCUUUGUUGAUAAUUUGAAUUAAAGAAUUAUAUUGUCCUGAAACUUAAUUCAUUUUAGAACAGCUUACUUGUGAUUUUUUUCAUCUGCUAUCUUGAGAAAACAAUAAUCAAAAUAUUUUAAAUUAUAUUUGGAUAUUAAUUUUGAAAUUAUUUUUAAAUUUUUCUUUUGAAACUAUUAAAACUAAUAAAUUAUCUAAAAUGCAUAGUCCAGGGUUGUCCUGAUGCUCCUGAUGAAAUGUUUAUAAUUUUGGUGAUUCUGAUCUUACUUGGUUUGUUCCUACUGAGUUCAGUUCCUUCACUUGCAAUAACAUUUCCUUUGUACAUCUUGGUUUUCAUUUUCUUCCCAUUGAUACACUUGAAUGAUUUUUUUUGUGGAUAUUUGCUUGAAAAUUUUCUUCAAAAUUUUAAAUACUUCCUAGUAAUUACAUCCUUCAAUAAAAAUCCAGAUGGAAGACUAUAUGAAUUUUUGCCCAAAAUUUCCUUUUCUGAAUUGAGAACAAACUGUAAUCUGCUACAAUAUAAGCAUAAAUAUAGAUAAUUGUUUAGUUUUUGCUAUAGCCUAUUAUCAGAUUAUCCCCUAAGUAAUAUUUUUUGUAUGUAUGAAGAAAACAAAAUUUACUUAGAAACAGAUCUUUUAAUCAUCAUAAUAAGUGCUCCCAGUACUUAAAAUCUUUUCCCAUUAUUCAAUAAUUUUUUGAAUGCCAGACUUGAAGUCUGUGCCUUUUGAUCCAAAAAACUCAGACAGGAUUUGAUGCAUCUCCUUGACAUUUCAGAGUUUUUCC
Molecule: long non-coding RNA, 848 nt
Filed under: Androctonus crassicauda
Lineage: Eukaryota; Metazoa; Arthropoda; Arachnida; Scorpiones; Buthidae
Source: RNAcentral